Helianthus annuus (common sunflower) is the source of this 313-nucleotide long non-coding RNA. RefSeq lists it as uncharacterized. The record is from RefSeq and is a predicted model, not a curated record. The transcript has 3 exons. Lineage: Eukaryota; Viridiplantae; Streptophyta; Magnoliopsida; Asterales; Asteraceae.
CACCGCCUUCUCUCUUCAAUUCUCUGUAAUCAUAUCGUUCCAUUGAUCAAUCGAUUUUCGCAAUCAAGUUCAUGUAAAGAUUUGUUUUCUGCAUCUUCUUCAUCAUCGUCUGUCUUUUCAUCCAUCUAUUCCGGGUUUUUUUUCAUUAAUCCAUAUCGACAUUUGUUUACAAUAUGCCUGGGUCAUCUUCAUCUUCAUUAAGUAUCAGAGAACCCUGUUUCUGUAGGCAUAUGAAAAAAGCAGAUGAGAUAAUUCUGGUAAUUAAUAUUUCAUAUUUUCUGUUGUUAUUAUUAUAUUAAAUUUGUUACACUUU